Molecule: long non-coding RNA, 895 nt
Organism: Aethalodelphis obliquidens (Pacific white-sided dolphin)
Lineage: Eukaryota; Metazoa; Chordata; Mammalia; Artiodactyla; Delphinidae
Exons: 4
Source: RefSeq, a predicted model, not a curated record
GGCGCCGUGCCCAGCGGCUCAGGAGGCGUCGCCCUUACGCCGCGGCGCCCCUCGGCCCGCCCGGCCCGCUCCCUUCCAGCUCGGAGCUGCGGGGACUCGGCGCCCAGGUCUCUGGUCCGGAUUGACGGCCUGUGUCUUCUUUCAAACCCUCUUCUACUUGGUGUACAUCUGGAGGAUAAACUGGAACAGAGCGGCAGAGCAGGUGUGGACGUGGAUUUUUUUCCACCACACGUACAGGAAGAGAAGAGCAGACAGGGAGAACUGGGAAGUGGUGUUCGCCCAGGCAGAUCCUCUGAAGGAGAAAAAGCUAUCGUCACCCGUCAUCCUAGGCAGAAAAGCUGGAAGGAACACAGCCAAAUGAACUGAAAGUUGGGCAAAAUUCGGAAGCCUCUUGCAAGAGCCAGGACUGCAGCUGUACCUCACAAGGAAGCACGACCAACAGUCUCCAAAAAGGACAGCCUGCAUCUCCAGAAAGGACAGUCUCCCCCUGCAUCCGGCAUCCCUGACAUCCCUGGGGAGCCUGCUAGAACUGAGGGUUAACAAUCCCGACUCUAAAAACAAGCGUGAGGCGACCACGUUGCCCUCUUCUACGCGUCAGGGAAAGACACUCUGCGUGUGCAAAACGCCAAACGGAGAAACUCCGUGAAGGGCAGGCGGGGCCACAUCUCCCGGAGGGCAGGGUCCCCGUGCGUCUGCAUCGGGGAGUCCCCACCAGCCCAGGGUCCCGCAGGCCAGAGUCACAGCUUCCACCUUCCACAGGGUUCAAGUCCAGGUGACUGACCGAAAAUGUCAACACAGGCAAGAUAACCAAGCAGCCACUGACCGUGACCCUGGGCUUGUGACGCUAGAGAUCCGGCUGACCUGGAGACCUCGGGGUCUUGCUUCAGGAACAGGA